This 432-nucleotide ribosomal RNA is filed under the name uncultured bacterium. Its description in RNAcentral is "partial 16S ribosomal RNA". It matches the Rfam family "Bacterial small subunit ribosomal RNA", at positions 29 to 506 of the family's 1533-position model. The record is from RNAcentral.
AACGAACGCUGGCGGCAUGCCUAACACAUGCAAGUCGAACGAGACCUUCGGGUCUAGUGGCGCACGGGUGCGUAACGCGUGGGAACCUGCCUUUAGGUUCGGAAUAACUCAGAGAAAUUUGAGCUAAUACCGGAUGAUGUCUUCGGACCAAAGAUUUAUCGCCUUUAGAUGGGCCCGCGUUGGAUUAGCUAGUUGGUGGGGUAAAGGCCUACCAAGGCGACGAUCCAUAGCUGGUCUGAGAGGAUGAUCAGCCACACUGGGACUGAGACACGGCCCAGACUCCUACGGGAGGCAGCAGUGGGGAAUAUUGGACAAUGGGCGAAAGCCUGAUCCAGCAAUGCCGCGUGAGUGAUGAAGGCCUUAGGGUUGUAAAGCUCUUUUACCCGAGAUGAUAAUGACAGUAUCGGGAGAAUAAGCUCCGGCGAACUCCGU